This 76-nucleotide transfer RNA is filed under the name Methanobacteriota archaeon. Its description in RNAcentral is "Euryarchaeota archaeon tRNA-Thr". It matches the Rfam family "tRNA". Rfam says of the family: Transfer RNA (tRNA) molecules are approximately 80 nucleotides in length. Lineage: Archaea; Methanobacteriati; Methanobacteriota. The record is from RNAcentral. RNAcentral also lists the same sequence under 2 other names.
GCCACUGUGGCUUAGCUGGUAUAGCACCUGAUUCGUAAUCAGGAGGUCGGGAGUUCGAACCUCCCCAGUGGCUCCA